Molecule: ribosomal RNA, 515 nt
Filed under: uncultured bacterium
Lineage: Bacteria
Description: bacterial SSU rRNA
Rfam family: Bacterial small subunit ribosomal RNA
Source: RNAcentral
GAUUAUGGCUCAGGAUGAACGCUAGCUACAGGCUUAACACAUGCAAGUCGAGGGGCAGCGAGAGGUUAGCUUGCUAACCUGUCGGCGACCGGCGCACGGGUGAGUAACGCGUAUCCAACCUUCCCCUUAGUAGGGCAUAGCCCGGCGAAAGUCGGAUUAAUACCCUAUGUUUUUCCGAUGAGGACAUCUGACUUGGAACAAAGAUUCAUCGCUAAGGGAUGGGGAUGCGUCCGAUUAGGCAGUCGGCGGGGUAACGGCCCACCGAGCCGUCGAUCGGUAGGGGUUCUGAGAGGAAGGUCCCCCACACUGGUACUGAGACACGGACCAGACUCCUACGGGAGGCAGCAGUGAGGAAUAUUGGUCAAUGGGCGGGAGCCUGAACCAGCCAAGUAAGCGUGCAGGAAGACGGCCCUAUGGGUUGUAAACUGCUUUUAUCGGGGGAUAAAGUGAGGGACGUGUCCCUUAUUGUAGGUACCCGAUGAAUAAGGACCGGCUAAUUCCGUGCCAGCAGCAGC